Molecule: ribosomal RNA, 811 nt
Filed under: uncultured bacterium
Lineage: Bacteria
Description: bacterial SSU rRNA
Rfam family: Bacterial small subunit ribosomal RNA
Source: RNAcentral
AGAGUUUGAUCAUGGCUCAGAAUCAACGCUGGCGGCGUGCCUAACACAUGCAAGUCGAACGCGAAAGUGGAGCAAUCCAUGAGUAGAGUGGCAAACGGGUGAGUAACGCGUGGGUGACCUGCCUUCGAGCGGGGGGAUAACGUUUCGAAAGGAACGCUAAUACCGCAUGACAUCCUGCCUUUGAAGAGGCGGAGAUCAAAGCUGGGGAUCGCAAGACCUAGCACUUGAAGAGGGGCCCGCGUCUGAUUAGCUAGUUGGUGAGGUAACGGCUCACCAAGGCGACGAUCAGUAUCCGGCCUGAGAGGGCGGACGGACACACUGGGACUGAGACACGGCCCAGACUCCUACGGGAGGCAGCAGUGGGGAAUUGUUCGCAAUGGGCGCAAGCCUGACGACGCAACGCCGCGUGGAGGAUGAAGACCUUCGGGUCGUAAACUCCUUUCGAUCGAGACGAAAGACUUCCGGGUGAACAAUCCGGGAGAGUGACGGUACCGAGAGAAGAAGCCCCGGCUAACUCCGUGCCAGCAGCCGCGGUAAUACGGGGGGGGCAAGCGUUGUUCGGAAUUACUGGGCGUAAAGGGCUCGUAGGCGGCCAACUAAGUCGGACGUGAAAUCCCUCGGCUUAACCGGGGAACUGCGUCCGAUACUGGAUGGCUUGAGGUUGGGAGAGGGAUGCGGAAUUCCAGGUGUAGCGGUGAAAUGCGUAGAUAUCUGGAGGAACACCGGUGGCGAAGGCGGCAUCCUGGACCAAUUCUGACGCUGAGUGAGCGAAAGCCAGGGGAGCAAACGGGAUUAGAUACCCUAGUAGUCC